RNAcentral lists this long non-coding RNA (6390 nucleotides) under Sus scrofa (pig). RNAcentral describes it as "lncRNA (ENSSSCG00035031880.1)". The record is from RNAcentral. Lineage: Eukaryota; Metazoa; Chordata; Mammalia; Artiodactyla; Suidae.
ACCUGUGGCACUUGCAGUUUAUCAGCUUCUGUAACUCCAAUUUCAGGAAAGAUAAGGCAAAAAGAACACCCAAGGAUCUCACGACCUUAUUGUUCCUUUGGUUCCAAGGGCCCAAGGGCCCAAGACAGCUUAUCUUUUUCUCUCUAUCUUUCCAAUGUUCUAUGUUUGCUUUAUAUAUAAAGCCCGGGCUAUUAGUAGUACUUAGUGGGAGGAGUUGGAAAAAUCAAGGAAGCAGAAGUUCUGAACAUUCACCUUUAAUAAAAUUUUAUUGAAAAGACAAUUUUGAGUGAAUGAAAUGAAAGGUUAAAGCUAGAAAAAAAGACUUCCUAUAAUGUUUACUAAUAUUAAUAUUGUAAUUACAUACAAGAUUUGCAGAUGGUAUUUAUUUGUCCUAUCUGUAGCAAAGGCAUGUACAUGUCUAGCCAAGGAUCCAAACUAAAGGCUAGCCCUGGUAGGCAGACAGAUACUUGUCUAUGGGUGUGUGGUUUGAUGGUGUUAAGUAAGCCAGACUUCCUCAAAUAAAUCCUCUCUCUGGCUGGUGCAUAGCUUAAGCUUUAUCCCCUAAGCUUAUGUCUAUAAUACCUGUUGAAAUAUAAAGCAUCCAUGGAGAAUAUAUGGUACUAUUCUUGACCCCAAGAGUGCUGCAUGCUGUGAGCACUCAACAGGAAAAAGGAGCAAACAGACACUUAACAGAAACAAACAGACACGAAGACAGGACAUCGCAACCUCCAAAUAUGUUCUUUGCAGUGCACACACAGAGCCAGAUAUAUACAUUUCUGAACAAGCAACUGAAUGAACAAGCAAAUAAAAAUGCCCGACUUAAAUGGAGAUUUGGAUUAUAACUAAUAUAUUUACUGACAACUGCUUGACUGCUUGAAGUGUUAAAAAGGUCACAAGAGGUUGAGUACAACAUAUCUUCCCUACUAGCUGGAGGAGAGAUUUGAUUUCCUCUGGUCUCCUUCCUCUGUUCAGGAACUAAGUUGGAUAAAUAUUUAUUAAACACUUACUGUGUGACAGGAUUCACAUUAUAUACCCCAUUCAAGAGCGAAGUUUAAUAAAUAUGUGUUCAGCACUUACUUUGUGACAGGAUUCACUUUAUAUACUAAGGAUAAGAACUUAUACAUCAUUUUUCUAUGCUUUCUCUUAUUUGAAGCCUUUCAUACCAAAAAGAUGUUUCGAGGAGACUGGCUUUCAUUAUCAGAAAUAGGUAUUGCAUUUUAAAAACAACUUUCCCUUUUCUCCACCUACUAAUUUUUAAAACAAGGUAUACACAUAACCUAUUAUUUCUUAUAUUUUAAAAAUGAGGGCAGUCAGGCCCAGAAAUUUGCCAUGCCCACAUUCCCAUAACAAGAAGAUUUAGCCUUAAAUAGUGGUCUUUUCAGCACCAAACUCAGGAUACUCAUCACACAACACUUUGAUGACACUCAGUUCCUGAGAGACAUUUCUCCCAAAGACCAGUCAACUUUUGAUUAAAAUUCAACCUUACAAUUAUAUUUAUUUUUCUAAAUACUUCCACCAAAUCAAAAACUCCCUGAGAUUAGGGACUUUAUUAUCAUAAUUCAUUAUAAAUUUGUACAUUUGUCCUUACAGACAUUCCGUAUUUGUUAAAUUAACUUGAAUGACUGCAAGAUAAUCUAGAUUCUGAAAUAAAAAAUACCCCUUAGACUCUUCCUGGUUAUCAAUCAACCUGCCUCAGCCCCUUCCUAGCUCUGUGGUCCCAGGUAAAUUAAUAACAUAUUUUUAAGCUUAAGGUUUUUGGGUUUUUUUUGUAAAAUGGGCAUAAUAAUGCUUACUUUACAGGGUUGUUAUAAAUAUAAUAGAUACUUAAUAAAUGGUAAUUGGUAUUAUAAAAUACAUGAAAACCUUAGGAUAGUGUUUGGCAUGGAGCAGGCCUUCCCUCCCUCAACACUGUCCCUCCCCCAACUAGAUAGGAAACUUGGUGAGGACAGGGACAUGCCUAUUUAAAACCAACAGCACAACUGGAAGAGAAGAGGUAAAAUUGUCACUAUAUGCAGAUGACAUGAUACUAUAUACAGAAAACCCUAGGAGCUCCACACAAAAACUACUUGAAAUGAUAAACGAAUUCAGCAAAGCAGAAGGAUACAAGAUUAAAUUCAAAAAUCAGAUGAAUUUCUGUACACUAACAUUGAUAUAUUAGAAAAAGAAUAUAAAAAAUAGCUUCCAAAAAAUUUAAAUAUCUAGGAAUAAACCCAACCAAGGAGGUGAAAAAUAAUUCACUGAGAACUAUAAAGUAUUAAUAAAGGAAAUUAAAGAGGAUUCAAAGAAACGGAAAGAUAUCCCAUGCUCCUGGAUUGGAAGAGUUAAUAUUGUUAAAAUGGCCACACUACCUUACGCAAUCUAUAGAUUUAAUGUGAUCCCUAUCAAAUUACCCAUGGCAUUUUUCACAGAACUAGAACAAAUAAUUUCAAAAUUUAUAUGGAACCAUAAAAGACCUAGAAUUCUCAAAGCAAUCCUCAGAGAAAGAAAAAAAAAAAAAAAAAAAAGCAGGAGGCAUAACUCUCCCAGGCUUCAGACAAUAUUACAAAGCUACAGUAAUCAAUACAGUGUGGUACUGGUACAAAAACAGAUGCAUGGAUCAAUGGAACAUAAUGGAUUGUCCAGAAAUAAACCCAGACACCUACAGUCAAUUAAUCUUCAACAAAGGAGACGAGAAUAUAAAAUGGGAAAAAGACAGUCUCUUCAGCAAGUGUUGCUGGCAAAACCGGAGAGCAGCAUGUAACAGACCCUCACACCAUGGACAAAAAUAAACUCAAAAUGGCUUAAAGACUUAAACAUAAGAUAUGGCACCUUGAAACUCCUAGAAAAGAACACAGGUGAAACAUUCUCUGACAUAAAUCAUACAAAAGUUUUCUUAGGUCAGUCUCCUAAGGCAAUAGAAAUAAAAACAAAAAUAAACAAAUGGGACCUAAUCAAAUUUACAAGCUUUAGCACAGAAAAUGAAACUAUAAAAAGAACUAAAAGACAACCUACAUACUGGGAGAAAGUAAUUGCAAAUGAGGCAACUGGCACAGGCUUAGUCUCCAAAAUAUACAAACUCAUACAACUCAACUGCAAAAAAACAAACAACCCAAUCAAAAAAAUGGGCAGAAGACCUAGGCAUUUCUCCAAAAAAGACAUACAGAUAGCCAGUAGGCACAUGAAAAAAUGUUCAAUGUCAUUAAUUAUUAGGGAAAUGCAAAUCAAAACUAUAAUGAGGUACCUUCUCACACUGGUCGGAAUGGCCAUCAUUAAUAAAUCUACAAAUAACAAAUGCUGGAGAGGGUGUGGAGAAAAGGGAACUCUCCUACACUGUUGGUGGCAAUGUAAAUUGGUACAACCACUAUGAAAAACAGUAUGGAGCUUCCUCAGAAAACUGAAAUAUAGAACUACCAUAUGAUCCAGGAAUCCCACUCCUGGGCAACUAUCCAGACAAAACUAAAAUUCAAAAAGAAACAUGUACCCUUACAUCUAAGGAUGACCUGACCCCCUUGCUGUACAGUGGGAAAAUAAAAAAAAAAAAAAAAAAGAAACAUGUACCCUUAUAUUGAUUGCAGCACUAUUCACAACAGCCAAGACAUGGAAGCAAACUAAAUGUCCAUCAACAGAUGAAUGGAUUAAGAAAAUGUGGUACAUGUACACAAUGGGAUACUACUCAGCCAUAAAAAAGAAUGAAAUAAUGCCAUUUGUUGCAACAUGGAUGGAACUAUAACUUAUCUUACUAAGUGAACAAAGCAGAAAGAGAAAGAUAACUACCAUAGGAUAUCACUUAUAUGUGGAAUCUGAAAUAUGCACAUAUGAACCUAUCUACAAAACAAAAUCAGACUCACAGACAUAAAGAACAGAUUCGUGGUUGCCAGUGGGGAGGGGGAAGGGAAUGAGAUGGACAGAGAGUUUGGGGUUAGUAGAUGCAAGAUAUUACAUUUAGAAUUGAUAAGCAAUGAGGUCCUGCUGUAUAGCACAGGGAACUAUAUCCAGUCUUUUGGAAUAUACCAUGAUGACAGAUAAUAUAAGAAAGGGAAUGUGUGUAUGUACAUGUAUGACUGGGUCACUCUGCUGUACAGCAGAAAUUGGCACAACAUUGUAAGUCAACUAUACUUUAAUACAGAUAUAGAUAUAUAGACACAUCCUCUAGACAAAAAUAAAAUAUAUGAUCAUCAAUCACUCUGAAAACUUUUCAUUUUAACACAUACGCUCUAUUAUUUAUUUUACCUGUGAAGUCCCCAUCAGCUCCCUACUAUCUGCCUUCAUCCCUUCCUGGGAACUAAUUGUUCAUUCAUGUAUGCAAUUAACAUUUACUGAGCACUUACUGCCUACCACAAGCCAGGCCGCAAAGAUUCAUAAGACUAUCUUACUGCCUCUAAAGGAUUUAUACGCUGCAAGGAAAAACCAGGCAUAAACAAUUUAUAAUUAAUGGAGGCGUUAUGAUAGAAGUAUGAAAAAGUGCUAAGGUUAUAAGAGUGAUUCAUGUUGCCUGGGGAGUUUGCUUAUGAGAGCAGACAUGUGGGAAAGUAAUUUUUUCUCUUUGUAAACUAAAUUGCCUUACUAGUAAUAAAAAUAGUUUCCAUUUGUGUAGUACUUUGCAAAGUGCUUUCACAUCCAUUUCUUCUUUUAAUCCUCACAAUGAAGACUUUAUUGUUUAGGUUUUGGGGUUUUUUUUAGCAUACUCAUUUUAAAAAUGGAACUAUGAAGCCAAUAGAUUAAUAAUAUUGAAAUUCGUUCUAAAGCCCAUAAGUAGAUGAUACAAACUGAAACUGAAAAUAAGUCUUCAUUGGAGCUUCUCAAAAAAGCUAAUAGCAGAGACCUUUAUUAUUGUCUUAUGUCAAUCCAGAUUUGCCAUCCUGCUAUAACAUCUUAUUAUAACAACCUUCUAGCUGGAUUCCCUGAUUUGUGUCUCAUCUCCCUCCAAGACUUUUGCUACAGUGGCCACAAAAUGAUAAUUUUUACAUGUAAAUUAAAGCAUGCCAUUGUCUUGCUUAAAGAUCUUUUAGCCUAAAAAUCUUCUUACUUCCUAUAGGAUAAAGUCCAAAUGCUUAUGCAUAGUAUAUAAAAUUCUCCAUCAUCUAAACCUAUCAAAUGUUUCAAAUUCUUUAGUGAUCACACUCUCUUCCAAUAACCUUACUAUUUUAGUCAAAGCUACCAUACUAUUUCCACUUCUACACAUUUAUAGUGUCUUUGGCUUAAAAUGCCUUUAACUCUCCAUCAUUUUGUCUGGUCAAAUGAGGGUGGACAUAGAAACUGUGGCUUUUUUGUUGUUAUUUAUACGCAGAAUUACUUAAUAGUUAUGGUAAAACCUUGGCAACUGAAAUUUAGCUCUUGCUUUUUUUCUUAAUUUGUCACUGCCUAAAAUACAAUUUGGGAACCACUAGACUAGCAUCUUCCUUUAAGAUCUCACAAAGAGAUCACUAUGUUUUAUAUUACAUAUCAAAGAUUCAUGACAUUUAUUGAUUACAUUUACAACUAAAAUAUGUUAUUUUGUGAGUAUAGUCUGCUGAGGAACCAACUGAAGAUAAGUCAAAACAAGAAAGAUAUGAGUCAUCUUGGAUCUUACAUUCAAUGAAAUAAAUAGAUAACAAAAUCAAUGAAUAAAUUAAAUCUCACAGAGUGGUGAUAAGUGCUAUUAAGGAAAUAAAAAAAUGGUCUGGGAAGGGAGGCACUUUGGAGAAGAUGGUACAUGAAGGCCUCCGAGGAAAUUACAUUUUAUUUUUUUUAAUAUAGUAUAGUUGAUUUACAAUGUUGUGCCAAUUUCUGAUGUACAGCAGAGUGACUCGGCUCUAUAUAUGUAUACAUUCUUUUUUCAUAUUAUUUUCCAUCAUGGUCUAUCCCAGGAAAUUGGAUAGAGUUCCCUGAGCUAUAUACAGUAGGCCCUUGUUGUUUAGCCAUUCUAAAUGUAAUAGUUUACAUCCAGUAAUCCCAAACUCCUACAGUUUGCAAAAAUGACAUUUUAGAUGAGACUUAAAAGAUGAGGAGUCAGCCAUGCAGUUGGGAGAAGAAUCUGUUGAGUCAAGGAAGAAGUUCAGAGUGGUUGAAAAUCAGUGUGAUUCAAAGACCAAUGUGGUUGCAAACAGUGAGAGAAGGGGACGUGCUGGGAGUUGAUAGUAGUGCAGGAAGGACCUAGCAGGCCAAGGCAUGGAAACCGUUGAAAGAUUUUAAGCAAGUGCAUGGUGAACCUGAAUGCAGCCCUGGCUGUAGGUGCAAGGUGGAGAGUGGAUUAUAAAAGAGCAGGUGAGGAAACAAGGAGACUAGUUACAAGGCUAUUGCAAUGGUCCGAGAUAUACUGAUAAAUGAACAAUAGUGGUGGCAGUGGCAGCGUAGACAAGUGUAUGGACUUGAGAUACACUAUGGAGAUGAAACCACCAAGACCAUUUUGAAGGACAGCAAUAAGAAUCAAGA